CUUUACUGUAGCCUGGUAUUGGGUUCGGGCUUUGACUGCGCAGGAUAGGUGGGAGACUGAGAAGUAGUUCUUGUGGGAACUAUGGAGUCAACGGUGAGAUACCACUCUGUCAGAGCUAGAAUUCUAACCUUCACCCAUUAUCUGGGGAAGGAACCGUAUCAGGGGGGCAGUUUGACUGGGGCGGUCGCCUCCUAAAGUGUAACGGAGGCGCGCAAAGGUGUUCUCAGGCUGGUUGGAAAUCAGCCGUAGAGUGUAAAGGCAGAAGAACGCUUGACUGUGAGAGUGACAACUCGAGCAGGGUGGAAACACGGCCUUAGUGAUCCGACGGUAUGUGCGUGGAAACGCCGUCGCUCAACGGAUAAAAGUUA
This 368-nucleotide ribosomal RNA is filed under the name uncultured organism. RNAcentral describes it as "bacterial LSU rRNA". It matches the Rfam family "Bacterial large subunit ribosomal RNA", at positions 2099 to 2465 of the family's 2925-position model. The record is from RNAcentral.